UUCUAUAAUGAUAGAGAAAUGAAAGAGACUUACUCGUGAUUUCAUGUACUUAAUAUUUCUUUUGAAAAAAAGAAGGAUUGGCUGAACUUGAAAAUUGACUCAUUGAAUGAGUAAUUGAAUGAGUAAACGAUUGAAUCGUAUUCGGUUGGGUGGUACCAACUAAAUCAAGUGCUAACUCCCAUUUAUUUCUUAUUGAAUUAACCGAUCAACUUGCUAUCGGACAUUUAUUUUCGACUUGGCAUGGCACUAUUCAAAAAAACUUUCGACAUACUUUACUUUAAUUAUAAUUAUGAGAAUCAAUCCUACCCCUUCUAGUCCUGCGGUUUCCACACUUGAAGAACAAAACCUAGGGCGUAUCGCUCAAAUUAUUGGCCCAGUACUGGAUGUUGUUUUUCCUCCGGGCAAGAUGCCUAAUAUUUAUAACGCUUUGGUAGUUAAGGGUCGAGAUACUAUUGGUCAGCAAAUUAAUGUGACUUGUGAGGUACAACAAUUAUUAGGAAAUAAUCGAGUUAGAGCUGUAGCUAUGAGUGCUACAGAUGGACUGAUGAGAGGAAUGGAAGUGAUUGACACGGGAGCUCCUCUAAGCGUUCCAGUCGGUGGAGCUACCCUCGGACGAAUUUUCAACGUUCUUGGGAGCCUGUUGAUAAUUUAGGUCCUGUAGAUACUAGCACAACAUCUCCUAUUCAUAGACCUGCACCUGCCUUUAUACAGUUAGAGACGAAAUUAUCAAUCUUUGAAACAGGAAUUAAAGUAGUGGAUCUUUUAGCUCCUUAUCGCCGUGGAGGAAAAAUCGGACUAUUUGGAGGAGCUGGAGUAGGUAAAACAGUACUCAUCAUGGAAUUGAUCAACAACAUUGCCAAAGCUCAUGGAGGCGUAUCUGUAUUUGGCGGAGUAGGCGAACGUACUCGUGAAGGAAAUGAUCUUUACAUGGAAAUGAAAGAAUCCGGAGUAAUUAAUGAAAAAAAUAUUGCAGAAUCAAAAGUAGCUCUAGUCUACGGUCAAAUGAAUGAACCGCCGGGAGCUCGUAUGAGAGUUGGUUUGACUGCCCUAACUAUGGCGGAAUAUUUCCGGGAUGUUAAUGAACAAGACGUACUUCUAUUCAUCGACAAUAUCUUUCGUUUCGUCCAAGCAGGAUCAGAAGUAUCCGCCUUAUUGGGGAGAAUGCCUUCUGCAGUGGGUUAUCAACCUACCCUUAGUACAGAAAUGGGUUCUUUGCAAGAAAGAAUUACUUCUACCAAAGAGGGAUCUAUAACUUCGAUCCAAGCCGUUUAUGUACCUGCGGACGAUUUGACCGACCCUGCUCCUGCCACGACAUUUGCACAUUUAGAUGCUACUACCGUAUUAUCGAGAGGAUUAGCUGCCAAAGGUAUUUAUCCAGCAGUGGAUCCUUUAGAUUCAACGUCAACUAUGUUACAACCUCGGAUCGUUGGCGAGGAACAUUAUGAAACUGCGCAAAGAGUUAAGCAAACUUCACAACGUUACAAAGAACUUCAGGACAUUAUAGCUAUUCUUGGGUUGGACGAAUUAUCCGAAGAAGAUCGUUUAACUGUAGCAAGAGCACGAAAAAUCGAGCGUUUCUUAUCACAACCCUUCUUCGUGGCAGAAGUAUUUACUGGUUCUCCAGGGAAAAUAUGUUGGUCUUGCAGAAACAAUUAGGGGGUUUCAACUGAUCCUUUCCGGAGAAUUAGACAGUCUUCCCGAGCAGGCCUUUUAUUUAGUAGGUAACAUCGAUGAAGCUACCGCGAAAGCUAUGAACUUAGAAGAGGAGAGCAAAUUGAAGAAAUGACCUUAAAUCUUUGUGUACUGACUCCUAAUCGAAUUAUUUGGGACUCAGAAGUGAAAGAAAUAAUUUUAUCUACUAAUAGUGGCCAAAUUGGCGUAUUACCAAACCACGCCCCUAUUGCCACGGCUGUAGAUAUAGGUCUUUUGAGAAUACGCCUCAACAACGACCAAUGGUUAACGGUGGCUCUGAUGGGUGGUUUCGCUAGAAUAGGUAAUAAUGAAAUCACCAUUUUAGGAAAUGAUGCGGAAAUAAGUACUGACAUUGAUCCGCAAGAAGCUCAACAAGCUCUUGAAAUAGCUGAAGCUAACUUGAGUAGAGCUGAGGGUAAGAGACAAGCAAUUGAAGCGAAUCUAGCUCUCAGACGAGCUAGGACACGAGUAGAGGCUGUCAAUGUUAUUUCCUACUAGUCAAGUCAAUACAUCAAAAUAAUAAAGAGAAGUUUUUAAAAAGUUCUUUAUUAUACACCACAUGUUGAUUCUGCCAAUUGAACACAAUCAAGUCUAAUCUGAUAAAACAAAAAAAGAAGAUGGGGUAGAAAAACUUAUUAGAUAUCAUUUCAUCGACUCCGGUAUCUAAUAAGUUCUACCUACUAUUGGAUUUGAACCAAUGACUCCCGCCGUAUGAAAGCAAUACUCUAACCACUGAGUUAAGUAGGUCAUUUAUCACCACAAAAAGAACCCAUCACUUCGGGGAUUAUAGGUGGAAUAUUAUUUCUAAGCAAUACUAAUCUGUUCUGUUAAGCGUAAAUAAAUCUGUUCUGUUAAGCGUAAAUAAAAUAAAUAGAUCAGAGAGCUAUGAUGUGGAUUAUGGAAUAUCCAUCUUGACAAGAAAUUAUCUAUAUGUUAAGAUGUCUAUGACAAGGGCUAUAGCUCAGUUGGUAGAGCACCUCGUUUACACGCGCGCCAAUGCUUUUCAAAGGAGCCUAUUAUGCAAUGAACAUAAUUGAUCGUAUUGAGAAAUCGAUGUCUUACUCCAUAGGUUCGAGGGAACAAGAGAACAAUAGCCUGACAAAUAUUUGGUUCGGUCCGAUUCAGGCGCGAAUUCAGUUGCCAAAUCAAAUAGAACCCGCCAUUGAUUUGAUAGUUGAUAAGGUAAAUACCCAGCCCAUUCAAUGCUAGGCAUAAUGAGUAUAAGGGCCUCAAAAUAACCUCUUUUCGUCCUAUGAACUUUAAGGUGUAUGAAGUCUCAUAUUCGACUGUUGCAGCGGGAGCGAUAGAGAUUCCAUUUAACUUAGGUUGAUCUAGGCCGAAGGCAGACCUAAGUCAAGAUAACCCUUCUUUGAAACACUUUGGUAUUGCUCCUAGAUCAGAAUACAAAUAAUAAAUCAGAGCACAUGGAACCAUCUCAUUAUCUUCCUCUAAAGAAAAAAAUAUGGUGGACUAACUGAUCUUUACAUCAGUUGAUGAAAGAGCCCAAUGCAACAAAAUGCAUGUUGGGUCUUUGAAACAGUUUCGAAUCAUUUCGAUAAUAAUCAGUUUGAUCUGUUUUACCGAGAAGGUCUACGGUUCGAGUCCGUAUAGCCCUAAUCCUAAUAUAUUAUAUUUUUGUUUAGUAUAUAGUUUAGUGUUUAGUAUAUAGUUUAGUAUGGUUUUCAUUUCUAUGGGACCAACCAAGUCUAAUCCUAAGUCACAUGGGUCUAGGACCUAUUCUUUUUCUUGGUCUUGGGUCUUGUCUUGUAUUUGGAGAAUCCCCCUAACUAAUCACUAAUCGUUUUUUGGCAGAACAAGAGCAACCUUAUUGAUUGAUUCAGAGAUAAUGGAGAGAUAACGAAUUGGGCCUAAAUAUAUUAACGUUUCUUCUUCUAUAUUCUAUGAGUUGAGUGGGUUUGUGGAUUUGAUUUGGUCCGUCGAAUCAUUCGAUAAUGUGUGAUUCUUUCUAUUUGAAAAUGUUAUGUAAAUCAUUUAUGAUUCCGUCGAUUAUACUACUCCACUCUUUGCUAUGUUUCAUUGUCUAGUAUAGGUUUGCUGUAAAACCUUUUUCUUGUAGCGAAAUCUAACCCAUUGCUUGGUCUUACCAUUAUAUUAUUAAGCGUUAUUGCCGUAACAAAACAAACAAGUAUUUUGGUUCAUUCCAAAUCGUAAUCUUUGUUUAGUAUUAGAGAUUGGUCCGAAAUAGAAUGAAUCUUUCAUUCUAACUCUAAUGAAAUAACUCGAUUCUUCUUAUUUAUUUCUGAGGAGGUGGGAUAGUACAGGUUCCAAGUUUCCAAUUUUUUGUAUAGAAAGAUAUAAGUUGUUAUAUGUCACCUCUCAAUUCAACGGAUUGAAUCAAUUAAGAAAAAUAGAAAUGAAAUCUAGGACAAGAAAAAGAUAAAAAAUCAUUCGAUGCAUUAGAUUAUGUAUUCAUAUUCGUAUCAAAUCAAUAGAAGCAAUGAUCCUAUACCCAGAUUUUAAUGAAAAAGGAAUACUUCGAAUAAUAUAGAAUAUGCUAGAAAUCCCUAGACAUUUUACCCCAUAUGACUAUUGAAAAAUUUAAGUUUUAAAAAAAGGAAAUGAAAUUAUUAUUAUUUCAUUAUGUUGAUUAUAUAUAAUCAACAUAGUAUUCUAAUGAAUAUAGUAUUCAUAGUAUUUAAUUAUAGGAUAUUUACUUUACUAUAUUAUAGGGUAUUGAUAUUUAUUAUAGUUAUAGGCAUAGGAAUAGUUAUAGGCAUAGGAUAUUUUAGUAUUUUAUUACCUUUUUCUAGAGGAUAGAGAACCCAAGACAAAGUGAGAGAGUUUUGUUUGUGUAAGAGCAUCCUAUGUCUACACCAUAUCUAAAUAGAAUCGAAAUCCAAAAUGUAAGUGGGAUUCCAUUAGAUGAAUCUUUAAACAAAACAUGCCCCACAGCAAACAAACUCUAAACUAUGCAGUUUGAUUUGAUCAAAAUCAAUUCUUGUUUCGCCUAAGAUAAGAAGUUAUGGAUGAAUUGACAAUUCCGAUUCGAAUCGAAUAAUUCAGCAUAUUCCACAUUAAUAGGAGUACAUUUAUGUUUCUGCUUCACGAAUAUGAUAUUUUCUGGGCAUUUCUAAUAAUAUCAAGCGUUAUUCCUAUCUUGGCAUUUGUAAUUUCCGGAGUUUUAGCCCCGGUUAGUGAAGGACCAGAGAAGCUCUCUAGUUAUGAAUCGGGUAUAGAACCCAUUGGGGAUGCUUGGUUACAAUUUCGAAUCCGCUAUUACAUGUUUGCUCUAGUUUUUGUUGUUUUUGAUGUUGAAACGGUCUUUCUUUAUCCAUGGGCAAUGAGUUUCGAUGUAUUGGGUGUAUCUGUAUUUAUCGAAGCUUUAAUUUUUGUGCUUAUCCCAAUUGUUGGUUCAGUUUAUGCAUGGCGAAAAGGAGCAUUGGAAUGGUCUUAACUGAAUAUUCAGACAAUCAAAAUAAAAAUGAAGGAAAAGAUUACAUUGAGACAGUUAUGAAUUUGAUUGAGUUUCCCUUAGAUUGACAAAACAAUUACCAAUUCAGUUAUUUCAACUACAUUGAAUGAUCUUUCGAAUUGGUCAAGACUUUCCAGUUUAUGGCCGCUUCUAUACGGUACCAGUUGUUGUUUCAUUGAAUUUGCUUCAUUAAUAGGCUCGCGAUUCGACUUUGAUCGUUAUGGAUUGGUACCAAGAUCGAGUCCUAGACAAGCAGACCUAAUUUUAACAGCCGGCACAGUAACAAUGAAAAUGGCUCCUUCUUUAGUAAGAUUAUAUGAGCAAAUGCCUGAACCAAAA
Musa acuminata AAA Group (dessert banana) is the source of this 5464-nucleotide RNA transcript. It is a transcript of the gene named ATP synthase subunit beta, chloroplastic-like, with no coding region annotated. The transcript has a single exon. The record is from RefSeq and is a predicted model, not a curated record. NCBI's taxonomy places the organism in Eukaryota, Viridiplantae, Streptophyta, Magnoliopsida, Zingiberales, Musaceae.